UGAGUAAUGCCUAGGAAUCUGCCUGGUAGUGGGGGACAACGUUUCGAAAGGAACGCUAAUACCGCAUACGUCCUACGGGAGAAAGUGGGGGAUCUUCGGACCUCACGCUAUCAGAUGAGCCUAGGUCGGAUUAGCUAGUUGGUGAGGUAAUGGCUCACCAAGGCGACGAUCCGUAACUGGUCUGAGAGGAUGAUCAGUCACACUGGAACUGAGACACGGUCCAGACUCCUACGGGAGGCAGCAGUGGGGAAUAUUGGACAAUGGGCGAAAGCCUGAUCCAGCCAUGCCGCGUGUGUGAAGAAGGUCUUCGGAUUGUAAAGCACUUUAAGUUGGGAGGAAGGGCAGUAAGUUAAUACCUUGCUGUUUUGACGUUACCGACAGAAUAAGCACCGGCUAACUCUGUGCCAGCAGCCGCGGUAAUACAGAGGGUGCAAGCGUUAAUCGGAAUUACUGGGCGUAAAGCGCGCGUAGGUGGUUCGUUAAGUUGGAUGUGAAAUCCCCGGGCUCAACCUGGGAACUGCAUCCAAAACUGGCGAGCUAGAGUACGGUAGAGGGUGGUGGAAUUUCCUGUGUAGCGGUGAAAUGCGUAGAUAUAGGAAGGAACACCAGUG
Molecule: ribosomal RNA, 611 nt
Filed under: uncultured Pseudomonas sp.
Lineage: Bacteria; Pseudomonadati; Pseudomonadota; Gammaproteobacteria; Pseudomonadales; Pseudomonadaceae
Description: bacterial SSU rRNA
Rfam family: Bacterial small subunit ribosomal RNA
Source: RNAcentral